Molecule: long non-coding RNA, 204 nt
Organism: Labrus mixtus (cuckoo wrasse)
Lineage: Eukaryota; Metazoa; Chordata; Actinopteri; Labriformes; Labridae
Exons: 3
Source: RefSeq, a predicted model, not a curated record
GGUCAGUCUGACUGUAGUGUGUUUCAUAGUGUACAGGUCAGUCUGACUGUAGUGUGUUUCAUAGUGUACAGGUCAGUCUGACUGUAGUGUGUUUCAUAGUUUACAGGUCAGUCUGACUGUAGAGUGUUUCAUAGUGUACAGGUCAGUCUGACUGUAGUGUGUUUCAUAGUGUACAGGUCAGUCUGACUGUAGUGUGUUUCAUAG